RNAcentral lists this ribosomal RNA (536 nucleotides) under Nigrospora sphaerica. RNAcentral describes it as "eukaryotic LSU rRNA". The stretch from base 177 to 330 matches the Rfam family "5.8S ribosomal RNA". Lineage: Eukaryota; Fungi; Ascomycota; Sordariomycetes; Amphisphaeriales; Apiosporaceae. The record is from RNAcentral.
GAACCUGCGGAGGGAUCAUUACAGAGUUAUCCAACUCCCAAACCCAUGUGAACUUAUCUCUUUGUUGCCUCGGCGCAAGCUACCCGGGACCUCGCGCCCCGGGCGGCCCGCCGGCGGACAAACCAAAACUCUUGUUAUCUUAGUUGAUUAUCUGAGUGUCUUAUUUAAUAAGUCAAAACUUUCAACAACGGAUCUCUUGGUUCUGGCAUCGAUGAAGAACGCAGCGAAAUGCGAUAAGUAAUGUGAAUUGCAGAAUUCAGUGAAUCAUCGAAUCUUUGAACGCACAUUGCGCCCAUUAGUAUUCUAGUGGGCAUGCCUGUUCGAGCGUCAUUUCAACCCCUAAGCACAGCUUAUUGUUGGGAACCUACGGCUUCGUAGUUCCUCAAAGACAUUGGCGGAGUGGCAGUGGUCCUCUGAGCGUAGUAAUCUUUUAUCUCGCUUCUGUUAGGUGCUGCCCCCCCGGCCGUAAAACCCCCAAUUUUUUCUGGUUGACCUCGGAUCAGGUAGGAAUACCCGCUGAACUUAAGCAUAUCAAU